AAAUAAGAAGCAAAAUUUGCAUUUAGUUUCGACCUAAAAUUAUGACUUUAGUCCUUAUUUU
Molecule: transfer RNA, 61 nt
Filed under: Theopea aeneipennis
Lineage: Eukaryota; Metazoa; Arthropoda; Insecta; Coleoptera; Chrysomelidae
Description: tRNA-Arg
Source: RNAcentral